UGAUGGGGUUGCAUGUACAUGUGUUUCCCUAUGUUUCUGUUUUUUAUAUUUUUGAAAAUGUCGUUUCCUCGUGCUUGCAUUUCCGUGCUACAUGGGCUGGCGGUUAUAGAUCCUUCUUGUAUUGGUUGUGAAGUCCACCUCCCUCUGGAAAAAUUCCAACUAAAAAAUAGCAGUGAAGUACAGAGAAAUAGAGAAGGCUUUUCUCAGGCUUUGAGCAAGAAAAAACAGAAUAGGGACUUCAACCUUUGAAUCUCAAAUCAUGAAGAAAGAGAA
RNAcentral lists this unclassified non-coding RNA (273 nucleotides) under Hevea brasiliensis (rubber tree). Lineage: Eukaryota; Viridiplantae; Streptophyta; Magnoliopsida; Malpighiales; Euphorbiaceae. The record is from RNAcentral.